UAAAUAUGUAAAUGUGUGAGGGUGUGUUGCACUGUGAUGGACAUCUUCUAGACCUUCAUCAGUGGUCACAGGACGCUGCCUAUGGGGCGCUGUUGGCUGGACAUAUUUUUGGUUGGUGGACUAUUCUCAGUCCAGCAGUGACAGUGAGUGUCACUGCAGUGCUGAGAAUGACCCACCAGCCAAAAAAUAUCUACUCUGUGGUGGUCCUGGGAGAUUCCUGACAAUUGAAGAACAGCAUGAAAGGGGGCUAACAAAGCAUGCAGAGAAACAGAUGGACUACAGUCAGUAACUGAAGAACUACAAAGUGCUUCUAUAUGAAACUGUGGAUACUUCAGUUUAUUUCUAUCUGCCCGAAACAUGCAGAAGGUUCUUGGAUGCCCUAAAUUGCCCUUAGGUGAGUAACUAAGUAAGUAAAU
Long non-coding RNA from Trichomycterus rosablanca, 416 nucleotides. RefSeq lists it as uncharacterized. The transcript is spliced from 3 exons. The record is from RefSeq and is a predicted model, not a curated record. NCBI's taxonomy places the organism in Eukaryota, Metazoa, Chordata, Actinopteri, Siluriformes, Trichomycteridae.